CUACGGGAUGCACCAGUAGGGAAUCUUAGACAAUGGGGGAAACCCUGAUCUAGCCAUGCCGCGUGAGUGAUGAAGGCCUUAGGGUUGUAAAGCUCUUUCGCUGGGGAAGAUAAUGACGGUACCCAGUAAAGAAACCCCGGCUAACUCCGUGCCAGCAGCCGCGGUAAUACGGAGGGGGUUAGCGUUGUUCGGAAUUACUGGGCGUAAAGCGCGCGUAGGCGGGCUAUUAAGUCAGGGGUGAAAUCCCGGGGCUCAACCCCGGAACUGCCUUUGAUGCUGGUAGUCUUGAGUUCGAGAGAGGUGAGUGGAAUUCCGGGUGUAGAGGUGAAAUUCGUAGAUAUUCGGAGGAACAUCAGUGGCGAAGGCGACUCACUGGCUCGAUACUGACGCUGAGGUGCGAAAGUGUGGGGAGCAAACAGGAUUAGAUACCCGCGUAGUC
RNAcentral lists this ribosomal RNA (439 nucleotides) under uncultured bacterium. RNAcentral describes it as "partial 16S ribosomal RNA". It matches the Rfam family "Bacterial small subunit ribosomal RNA", at positions 339 to 795 of the family's 1533-position model. The record is from RNAcentral.